Molecule: ribosomal RNA, 500 nt
Filed under: uncultured Glomeromycotina
Lineage: Eukaryota; Fungi; Glomeromycota
Description: partial small subunit ribosomal RNA
Rfam family: Eukaryotic small subunit ribosomal RNA
Source: RNAcentral
CCAAUAGCGUAUAUUAAAGUUGUUGCAGUUAAAAAGCUCGUAGUUGAAUUUCGGGGUUAGUAGGUCGGUCAUGCCACUGGUAUGCACUGGUCUCACUGAUUCCUCCUUCCUGAUGAACCGUAAUGCCAUUAAUUUGGUGUUGCGGGGAGACUGGGCUGUUACUUUGAAAAAAUUAGAGUGUUUAAAGCAGGCUAACGCUUGAAUACAUUAGCAUGGAAUAAUGAAAUAGGACGUUCGAUCCUAUUUUGUUGGUUUCUAGGAUUGACGUAAUGAUUAAUAGGGAUAGUUGGGGGCAUUAGUAUUCAAUUGUCAGAGGUGAAAUUCUUGGAUUUAUUGAAGACUAACUACUGCGAAAGCAUUUGCCAAGGAUGUUUUCAUUAAUCAAGAACGAAAGUUAGGGGAUCGAAGACGAUCAGAUACCGUCGUAGUCUUAACCAUAAACUAUGCCGACUAGGGAUCGGAUGAUGUUAAUUUUUUAAUGACUCAUUCGGCGCCUUACG